Long non-coding RNA from Triticum dicoccoides, 2247 nucleotides. RefSeq lists it as uncharacterized. Lineage: Eukaryota; Viridiplantae; Streptophyta; Magnoliopsida; Poales; Poaceae. The transcript has 4 exons. The record is from RefSeq and is a predicted model, not a curated record.
CACCCAUGUUGGAUCCCAUCUCUCUCAUCCUCCUCGAUCCGCUUUCUCCACCCCACGCCGCCACCAGAUUCCAGCGAUCCCCGCUGUUCCCCAUCGCCCAGCUCUCCUCCCCUAGGUCACCUCUCCCCGCUCACCAUCUCCACCGACCGAUUUCUCUCCUCGCCCAGGAGAGCCACGCCCAGGCACUGGUGGUGGUGCACCACGAGGAGACCCCAGCAGCGUCGAGCUGCUGCUGCUGCGGGCACAUCGACAUGCUGGGGAGGAGCUACGUCGGGAUGCUGCUCCUGCACCGAGCUACUGCUGCUGCGGGCAUGACAACGAGCCGGGGAGCAGCUGCUGCUGCGGGCGCGGCAUCUCUCCUUUCCCCAAAUCCCCAUCCGACGCAUCCCUCUCCAGCCUCAAGCCGCUGCCCUGAGCUCCCCUACAGGCCGGCGACACCACUCUGUUUAGGAGUCACGCAUGUGGCCGGCAUAGCAUUCUGGUCACCAACUGCCCUCCAGGUGUGAGCUGUUUUGCUCGUGGACAAUCUCAUGUGUUGGAUCUACAUUGGAUGGCAGAUAAGAGGAGUGGGAGCUUGCAGCAGCAGAUUUGACCCCUUCCCAAUGAGCUGCAGGUCGUAGACGAGGUCCCGGCCGAGUUUGGUGUGAUGAAUCACUAGGACAGUAUAGCAAGGCCGAGGUAUCCCUCCUCUCAUUCCUUCCCCUUUCUACCACCUAAGGAGUGAUUAUAGUGUAUGCUGCACAGAAGUUUCCAAAGUUCAUGCUUAGCUGAUAUCUUUUGUUAACUGAAUAGUUUGGUGUGAUGAAUCACUAGGACAGUAUAGCAAGGCGGCUCUUAAAAAAGGUCCCUUCUUUGAUUAUAAAUCCUAAACAGAUCAUAAAUUAUGAGCAAAGAACCUUCCAUGAUCCCCAUCACAGAGUUUUGUUUUUGUUCCCUUGCAUUGAUAUGCAAAAUAUAUGCAUCGCUAAGAAUUUUGCGUUAAGUUAAUUGUUUGUUGUGAUGAAUCAUAAGGACGAUAUCCGAGUAUGCUGGCUCUUGAAAAAGGCCUCCUUCCUUGAUUAUAGUAAUUCCUAAACUGGUCAUAUAGUCUGGGCAACCUGCACAAAUCUGAAUUUAUGUUUUGGAAAACCAUGUUUCCUAUUUAAAUUCUACUAGUCAUUGCUCUAUGCUUUAAUAUUGGGUAUUAGGACAUGAUCAUGCUCCUAUGGUUGUUCUAUUUGAUAAGACUUGAACAUGCUUAUUUUAGUUUAGAUAUCCAUCUAUGCUACCAUUCUGUCCAUUUGGAUGUUAUGCACUUACAAUUAUACAUUAUGUAAAUCCAUAUUUCAGUUGCAAUGUAUAGCUUGAUUCACACUUGUAGCAGCCAUGCAAGAUAAAAGAAAAUAAAUCUAGAUUCUUACCCUUUCCCUUGAUAUAUUCUCCUUGUUGAACAAACAAACAGUUUUCGAUGAACUGACAUUUCACCAUUCUGCUGGUUGGAUGCUUGUUGCGUAUAUUUAGAAUAAGCGUAAGUGCUUGUAUCUUGCUACUAUGAAAGUGGUGAUGUUUUUAAUGAAGUGAUGCAGGCUGCAGUGGCAUGCAACAUGUAUUCAUUGCAAUAUUUUCAUAUUUGUGGAGAUUGGUUAGUAUUUUGUGGUUGAUGGCUGUAGCUGGCUUUUCCUCCUAAAAUUUACAUGUGGUGGGAACAGAGUACAUGUGCCAUAAAAUUCACUUUUUCUCCUAACAACUUAUACUUAGCACUUUGAUCUUUGUAGAAAAAACCUUGCUGGGUCCAAAGUUGUCCAGAUGCAUGCUGAAUGAUGGCUGAGAUAUGGUGCGAAAUGGAAUAGAAAGAAAAUUCUUGUGCCUGCAGGGAGCGGAACUGAAUAUGAUCGGGGGGUCACAGUCAAGAGAGAGCUUCCUUGGCGUGCUACCAAAGGGAAAUGCCACUAUCAUGGAAGUAAAAGAGAUGGCCAUUUAAUUAGGCUAGGCUCACAAGUAGCUGGAUUUUUUGUGCGUGAAGAGGCAUCAGUGAUUUUUUUAGCAGUUUAUAAUGGUACUAGCCCCCUGUGCUUGUGGGUGCAGUGCCCUAAUUGCAGAAAAAUACCAGGUGCAAGUGUGGUGCUGGUUCUCUCCUUUGGCUCUUUGGUAUUGGUUCUCUCCUUUGGCUCCUUGUAAUAUGUGUUGGAUAUGUGUUCAUGGAUAUGUGUUGGAUAUAUAUGUGUUCAUGACUAUUGGUAACAUGUGUUGGAUAUGUGUUCAUGGCUA